Molecule: ribosomal RNA, 253 nt
Filed under: uncultured bacterium
Lineage: Bacteria
Also listed under: 2 other names
Description: partial 16S ribosomal RNA
Rfam family: Bacterial small subunit ribosomal RNA
Source: RNAcentral
UACAGAGGUCUCAAGCGUUGUUCGGAUUCAUUGGGCGUAAAGGGUGCGUAGGCGGUGAGGUAAGUCGGAUGUGAAAUCCCGGGGCUCAACCCCGGAACUGCAUUCGAUACUGCUUUACUUGAGGACUGGAGAGGAGAUUGGAAUUCACGGUGUAGCAGUGAAAUGCGUAGAUAUCGUGAGGAAGACCAGUGGCGAAGGCGAAUCUCUGGACAGAUCCUGACGCUGAGGCACGAAGGCUAGGGGAGCAAACGGG